GAUGAAGAACGCAGCGAAAUGCGAUAAGUAAUGUGAAUUGCAGAAUUCAGUAAAUCAUCGAAUCUUUGAACGCACAUUGCGCCCGCCAGUAUUCUGGCGGGCAUGCCUGUUCGAGCGUCAUUUCAACCAUCAAGCCCCCGGGCUUGUGUUGGGGUCCUGCGGCUGCCGCAGGCCCUGAAAAGCAGUGGCGGGCUCGCUGUCACACCGAGCGUAGUAGAUUUUAUCUCGCUCAGGGCGUGCUGCGGGUUCCGGCCGUUAAACCACCUUCAUAACCCAAGGUUGACCUCGGAUCAGGUAGGAAGACCCGCUGAACUUAAGCAUAUCAAUAAGCGGAGGA
RNAcentral lists this unclassified non-coding RNA (337 nucleotides) under soil metagenome. RNAcentral's name for it is "partial contains 5.8S ribosomal RNA, internal transcribed spacer 2, and large subunit ribosomal RNA". The stretch from base 1 to 120 matches the Rfam family "5.8S ribosomal RNA", at positions 35 to 154 of the family's 154-position model. The record is from RNAcentral.